CCUACGGGAGGCAGCAGUGGGGAAUAUUGCGCAAUGGGCGAAAGCCUGACGCAGCGACGCCGCGUGAGGGAUGAAGGUCUUCGGAUCGUAAACCUCUGUCAGCAGGGAAGAACGGUCACUGUGCUAAUCAGCAGUGAAUUGACGGUACCUGCAAAGGAAGCACCGGCUAACUCCGUGCCAGCAGCCGCGGUAAUACGGAGGGUGCGAGCGUUAAUCGGAAUUACUGGGCGUAAAGCGCUCGUAGGCGGUAUGUCAAGUCAGGGGUGAAAUCCCCGGGCUCAACGUGGGAACUGCCUUUGAAACUGGCAAACUGGAGUGUGUGAGAGGAUAGUAGAAUUCCAGGUGUAGGAGUGAAAUGCGUAGAUAUCUGGAGGAACAUCAGUGGCGAAGGCGACUAUCUGGCACAUAACUGACGCUGAGGAGCGAAAGCGUGGGUAGCAAACAGGAUUAGAUACCCGGGUAGUC
Molecule: ribosomal RNA, 465 nt
Filed under: uncultured bacterium
Lineage: Bacteria
Description: partial 16S ribosomal RNA
Rfam family: Bacterial small subunit ribosomal RNA
Source: RNAcentral